RNAcentral lists this long non-coding RNA (1374 nucleotides) under Sus scrofa (pig). Its description in RNAcentral is "lncRNA (ENSSSCG00015017670.1)". Lineage: Eukaryota; Metazoa; Chordata; Mammalia; Artiodactyla; Suidae. The record is from RNAcentral.
UCCAGUUGUAAGAGUAAUAAGUUCUGGGAAUCUAGUGAAGAGUAUGAUGACCCUAGUUAACAGUAUUGUAUUGUUUACUUGAAAGUUGCUAAGAGACUAGGUCUUAAAUGUUCUCACCACAACAGCUACCAAAAAAUGGCAAUUAUGGUGGAUGUGCGAAUUAACCUUAUUGUGAUAAUCAUUUUGCUAUAUAUGUGUAUUAAAUCAUCACAUUUUACACCUUAAACUUACACAAUAUCGCAUGUCCAUUAUAUCACAAUAAAGCUGGGCAUGGGAGAGAAUAUUUUUCUAUCCAAGGACCCAGUUUUUCUCACUAUUUGCCUUCACUUAUUUUUCCAGCAGAAUUUCUCAGUUAAAAAAUACAGCUCCUAGAACAUUGCUUGGCACACUGUAGUUUGCCAGUAAAUACUAGUAUACUUGUUGAAUGCAUGAAAAUAUCUUUCACACUUUAAAAGCUUAUUCUUUUUUUUUUUUUUGUCUUUUUGCCUUUUCUAGGGCCAUUCCUGCGGCAUAUGGAGGCCCAGGAAAGACAAAAAAAUAAAAAAUAAAAGUAAAACACAGCCCAAAUCAGGGAGAGAGAAAGAAACAAAACCUUGUCUUCACUCUCUGCCUUCCAAAGUUCUGUCAGUACACUUCAUUGAAUAAUCAAUCCCAAAGAGACUCCAACCAGAAAUGGAGCUUGAGGGAUAUAGUCCUUAUGGAUAAGCCUCCUAGGGCAUAGAACAGGACUGAGGAAGGCAGGAAAUGGAUCAGGAGGUGGGGCAAAAUAUUUUUGUUUUCUCAGGGUCAAAAUUCUGAAAGAAGUAUUUUAUCAAGCCAGCUACUCUAACUUUAUAUGCAAAAAGGAGCCAUUUUGGAAUUUCAAGAGUUUCAUCUUAACCAAUUUUCUCUGGAGUCUAAAGAAUAUUGUGAAUAUGCAAUAUUUUAAAAAAUCAUUUUUUCCUUAGUCAUAGAUUUAUAGUUAUAAUCAAACCAUUUUUCCAAAAUCUAUUAGGAAUAGAUGAAAGGUUCCUCAGCCUUUAAAAACAGAAAGACAAAAUGAAAAUGGUGCCUCCCCCAAACCAAAUGCUAGCAUUCAAAGAAACAACAGACUGGUUCACAAAUUGGGGUACCACUCUCCUCUCCAAGAGGGUACCCCACACAAAUACAAAACAAAUGGGCUUAUUUGGGGGAGGAAGAGCCCAGGAUGGCAAUGAAUGGAGUUUUCAGUUGUGCACACCAAAGCGACUCGCUCUACUGUAUUGAGCCCCAAACAUCCGUCAGUUAAAAGAGAAAGAUUUAUUUAUCAAAAGGGGAUAUUACUGGAAACAAACAGACAGAGCCUUAUUUCCUUCACCACAGAAUUGAUAGUGCCACAGGCCAGUGACACCUGGU